Long non-coding RNA from Daucus carota subsp. sativus, 1533 nucleotides. RefSeq lists it as uncharacterized. The record is from RefSeq and is a predicted model, not a curated record. NCBI's taxonomy places the organism in Eukaryota, Viridiplantae, Streptophyta, Magnoliopsida, Apiales, Apiaceae. The transcript is spliced from 6 exons.
CAUAAAAUCAAAAAUCGUAAACCACUGCUGUCUCUCACUCGAUCUCCUCUCUCACUCGAUCUUGUCGACUGAAGAACUCACUCUCACCUCACUGCUAAACUCUCCUCCCACUGUUGUCUGCUCUCUGCUCUCUCUCUGGGCUGUCUACUCUCUCUCUGUCAAAGUUCCAGUCGGGACUUAAAGGUUAAAAGUUAAAGGGUCGUCGGAGCUGAAGUCGGAGUUCAAGUCAGAGUUUAGAGCUAAUUCGGAGGUUAAAGUUUGAAUUGGCAUCGCUCCACCAGAACAAAAAAUUGGCUACAUCAUAUGAAGAUUGUAACAGAGUUUUUGGCCAUGAAUAACUCCAACACAAGAGAUGAAAUGAAAAAUGUUGCUAUGUAAACAAAACAAGUGUAUACUAGUCAUUGAGACAGACUGAGAGGGGAGGUUAAGAUGUAUGCAAUUCUUACAUCCUUGGAGUGGAGACUCGAGAGGCUGGAACCUGAAGAUCAUCUCGCAGGUGAAGCUCCAGCAGAAGCCGUGUUGAUUGCGUUUGGCAAACCUCUUCAAAUGUUGAAUUAAAAGUCUUGAACCUAUCUUUCAGAGAGUUCUUGAAAUCCCAUUAUAAAAUGAGAACUUGUUACUCAAGGUUCUGUGAUUUUGGAUUGGCAAAGGAUGGACCGGAGGAUGGUAAAAGCCACGUGUCUACCAGAGUUAUGGGAACCUAUGGUUAUGCAACUCCGGAGUAUAUGGUGAUAGAAUUAGAGACAGAGAUGACUAGAAGAUUAUGAGAGAAUUUGCUAAGUUAAGAUGCGGUUCGGAAAAGGAACUACAGAUACGUUUCCUAUUUUUAGUCUUGUCUUGAAGUUUGAACUCUAUAAAUUUUAUUGCUGAGUAAUUGUGUUCCUUUCUUUUACUUGCAUCUUAUUUUAGGGACUAGCUCCUGCAUUUACUGAGUGCAAAUGUUUGCAUUAUAUGUGUUAUUAUGAGACUUUUUAUUUGAGUUGUUAUUCUGAAAAAUAAACCUGUUUGCCACAUUAACAGUUAUUACUUCCUGCAAUUGUUCUCCUUUCUCUUUGCAGGCCAAAGUCUUGUACUAGUACUAGUCGGGAAGGGAAGAGGGGGGGGGGGGACACUGUAGAGCUCGCUAAAAAAAGGUUUACGCAAGGGCUACAAGCAGGAAAAAGGUGUGAUCUGUUGUUCAGACUGUCCAGAAAAUAUUGGACCUAACGGAAGAUAUUCAAGUCCCGUCAAUUUACAUCCAAACCAAGUUCUUAUGCCACUAGUAUAUCAACCUGGGGAUUGUGUUAUUGUAGCUAAGAACUUUUUUUCAUAUAUUGUAGCUAAUAAAGUUAGAAAAGAUCAUGAAUGAAUGUCAAGUAGUAGUAGUUGAUGUUUGAUGGUUUAGUAUUACUAUGUUGGGAUAUAUUAGUGUGGAUGAUAUUUGGAGAUUGGUGGAUGUUAAUUUGGAUGCUGGUGGAUGUUUGGAUGUGUACUAGAAGUUGGUUAGGAGAAUAUGACAAUUGGUAUAUAUUUGGAGAUUGUUUGGAUUUUAAA